This 513-nucleotide long non-coding RNA is filed under the name Gallus gallus (chicken). The record is from RNAcentral. Lineage: Eukaryota; Metazoa; Chordata; Aves; Galliformes; Phasianidae.
GCUCGUUUUACUUCCUUCCACUUUAGGUCACUUAGUGGAUCAGAAACAAAGUCAAAAAGUACACAACAUUGUCGUAACUUCUGGAUAAAAAGCUUUUCUUGAUCAGCAGGAGGAACAUCUUUUAAAGCUGGCAGUUUUUGAAGCUCCCUGUUAUUGCUGACAUUAAACCUUGAUGAACUCUGGCGUUUUUCCUUUUUCAGUACUGUCUGGGGUGCUGGUACUUUGAUUUUAGAUAGCUGUGCUGGGGGAGGAGCGCUGUUUGAUUUUUUGUUUGACACUUCAUGUUCUUGGUUUUCUUGUCCAUCUUUGCCACUUUUUCCACUUUUGCCCGAUUUUGCAGGUUCUUUCUCCUUCUUGUUUUUAUUCGGCAUGGCCUCUCCGGGCGCCGCGGCCGGACACGCGCAACCCCCGGCGGCCCCACUCGGCGCUGCGCCCGCCCCGCGCUGCCGCUCCCCCGGCUCCGGCGGCGGCCUCAGCCUUCCGCCCGCCCCCUUCCUCCUCCGCCGCCCGCGG